RNAcentral lists this ribosomal RNA (340 nucleotides) under Ruminococcus flavefaciens. RNAcentral describes it as "partial 16S ribosomal RNA". Lineage: Bacteria; Bacillati; Bacillota; Clostridia; Eubacteriales; Oscillospiraceae. The record is from RNAcentral.
GGAGUCUGGGCCGUGUCUCAGUCCCAAUGUGGCCGUUCAACCUCUCAGUCCGGCUACUGAUCGUCGCCAUGGUGAGCCGUUACCUCACCAUCUAGCUAAUCAGACGCGAGCCCAUCUCAGAGUGAUAAAUCUUUGAUAAUAGUAUCAUGCGGUACCAUUAUGUUAUGAGGUAUUACCAUCCGUUUCCAGAAGCUAUCCCUCUCUCUAAGGUAGGUUGCUCACGUGUUACUCACCCGUCCGCCACUAAGUUAUUCUAAGUAAACUCAAAAUAACUCCGUUCGACUUGCAUGUGUUAAGCGUGCCGCCAGCGUCGUCCUCGUAGCCACGGAGUCAAACUACU